UCACUCUCUGUCGCCCUGGCUGGAGUGCAGUGGUGCUAUCACGGCUCACUGCAGCCUCAACCUCCCCGGCUCAAGUGAUCCUCCAGCCUCAGUCUCCUGAGAAGCUAGGACCACAGGCAUGCACCACCAUGUCCAGCUAAUUGGUUAACUUUUUCUUUGCAGAAAUGGGGUCUUACUGUGUUGCCUAAGCUGAUCUCAAACUCCUAACCUCAAGUGAUCCUCCCACCUUGGCCCUGCAAAAUUCUGGGAUUACAAACAUGAGCCAUUGUGCCCAGCUGAGGGCUGGUUUCUAGAAAUGGUGGUAUGCCAGGCUUCAUACUGGGGUCAUGCAUGUGGACUGGGCUCAUUGGCCUGAUUGCUCUAGCAAUAUGUGGGGUAGGAAGAAUCAUGCCCCCUCUCUCCUCCUCUUCGAAAAAUGUCCACAUCCCAAUCCCUGGAAGCUGUGAAUAUGUUCAGUUAUAUGGCAGUUGGGAAUUAAGGUUGCGAGUCAGCUGUCCUUGAGAUGGGGAGAUUAUCCUGGACUAUCCAGGUGGGACUUUUGUAAUCGCAAAGGUCCUCGGAAGUGAAGAAGGAAGUCAGGAGAGUCAGUGUCAGAGUGAUGCCGUGGGACACAGUCUUCAGGGCUGUUGCUGCCUUGAAGAUGCAGGAAGGGGCCGUGAGCCAAGGAAUGCAGGUGGCCUCUAGAAGCUGGAAAAGGCAAGAAAAUGGAUUCUCCUUGAGAGCCUCCAGCAGAAAUGAGGCCCUGCCAACACCUUGACUUGUAGCCCAGUGAGACCCAAACAUCUAACAUCUAAAACUAUAAAUAAGAAUUUGUGUUGUUUUAAGUCACCACGUACAUAGUCAUUUGUUACAGCAAGCUAUAGCAAACAAUCCAAAUGGAGACCUGUCUCUGGUUUGGAAAUGCGAGACAUUCUUAUUUAUUUGUGGAAUAUAAUAUAAUGGAAAAUUUAUGGAAUAUAAGUAACUCCAAGAAGAUUCUUGUCAACAUUAAUUCUGAGAUUUUUCUAAGCUAAUUUAUUUUACUACAGUAAGGCCAGGAACUUUAUUGCUUUGCUGUUGUCUCCUCACUGCCUCGAUCAGUGCCUAAUUCAUUCCUUUUUGAAUGAAUGAAUCUUUUCUAACCAAACUCAUGAAAAACCCUAAGAAACACCCCCCACUUUUUUUGAGACAGAAUCUCAUUUUGUCACCCAGGCUGGAGUGCAGUGGAUCACAGCUCACUGCAGCCUCAACCUCCCAAGUUCAAGUGAUCCUCCCCACUUGGCUUCCCAAGUAGCUGGGACCACAGGUGCACACCACCACGUCUGGCUAAUUUUUUAAUUUUUUUUUUGUAGAAAUCAGGUCUUGCUAUGUUGCCUAGACUGGUCUCAAACUCCUGGGCUCAAGUGAACCUCCCGCCUUGGCCUUCCAAAAUGCUCUCAUUACAGGUGUGAUCCACUGUGCUUGGCCCCACCUUUUCAAAAAAAAAUUUAUGCUAAAUUGUAAAUGUUAAAUUGAGGCUCUUGUUAUAGACAAGGCAUAUCAUACUUCGCAUUAUCAUUCAAAGAUGAGAGGCUUAAUUAGAGAAUUUUCUACAGUUGGGUUUUAACAAGAGCCAUUCUUAACUUCCUUGGGGUCUAAGAACUUCUUGGUACCUACACAUGGUUGAAAUGUUAACCCUGUACUUUGCUGCUUAGCAAGACUGCUGUAAUGCUGAUAUGGUUUGGCUCUGUGCCCCCACCCAAAUCUCAUCUCGAAAUUGUAAUCCCCACACAUCGAGGGAGGGACCUGAUGGGAGAUGAUUGGAUCAUGGAGGCGGUUUCCCCCAUGCUGUUCUCGUGAUAGUGAGUUCUCGCGAUAGUGAGUUCUCGCAAGAUCUGAUGGUUUAAAAGUGUUUGGCAGUUCCCCCCUAGCUCUCUCUCUCUCUCUCUCUCUCUCCCCCCUAAUGCCAUGUAAGACGUGCCUUGCUUCCCCUUUGCCUUCCGCCAUGAUUUUAAGUUUCCUGGGGCCUCCCACACUAUGCAGAACUGUGAGUCAAUUAACCCUCUUUUCUGUAUAAAGAACUACCUGAGACUGGGUAAUUCAUAAAGAAAAUAGGCUUAAUUGGCUGAUGGAUCUUCAGGUCAUAUAGGAAGCAUGGUUGCAGAGGCCUCAGGAAACUUACAAUCAUGGCAGAAGGUGAAUGGGAAGCAGACACAGCCUGCAUGGCUGAAGCAGGAGGAAGAGAGAGAAGGGGGAGGUGCUACACACUUUUAAACAACCAGAUCUCAUGAGAACUCACCAUCACAAGAACAGCAAGGGGGAAGUUUGCCCCCACGAUCCAAUCACUUCCCACCAGGCCUGUCCUCCAACAUUGGGGGUUAUAAUUCAACAUGAGAUUGGGGCAAGAACACAAAUCCAAACCAUAUCAGGCUGGGCACAGGGACUCAUGCCUGUAAUCCUGGCACUUUGGGAGGCCAAAGCAGAGGAUUGUUUGAGUCCAGGAGUUUGAGACCAGCUUGGUCAACAUAGCGAGAACGACUCAG
RNAcentral lists this long non-coding RNA (2501 nucleotides) under Homo sapiens (human). RNAcentral describes it as "non-protein coding lnc-JCAD-2:1". The record is from RNAcentral. Lineage: Eukaryota; Metazoa; Chordata; Mammalia; Primates; Hominidae.